Molecule: ribosomal RNA, 357 nt
Filed under: uncultured bacterium
Lineage: Bacteria
Description: partial 16S ribosomal RNA
Rfam family: Bacterial small subunit ribosomal RNA
Source: RNAcentral
CCUACGGGGGACAGCAGUGAGGAAUAUUGGUCAAUGGACGCAAGUCUGAACCAGCCAUGCCGCGUGCAGGAAGACGGCUCUAUGAGUUGUAAACUGCUUUUGUACGAGGGUAAACGCAGAUACGCGGAUCUGUCUGAAAGUAUCGUACGAAUAAGGAUAGGCUAACUCCGUGCCAGCAGCCGCGGGAAUACGGAGGAUUCAAGCGUUAUCCGGAUUUAGUGGGUUUAAAGGGUGCGUAGGCGGUCGGAUAAGUUAGAGGUGAAAUCCCGAGGCUCAACUUCGGACUUGCCUCUGAUACUGUUCUGCUAGAGCGUAGUUGCGGUAGGCGGAAUGUCUGGUGUAGCGGUGAAAUGCUUA